UCAAAACUCUCUAUGUUUUGGUUUUCUAAAAAGGAUGAUUUGAACUGAAGAAAGGCAGCUACUUUUAUAGCCAAUGUUCCUGACAAAUUGGUGGCCUUGAAUGCGAGAGAGUUUUUCUCAUUUUCUCUUCCGUUCGUUUUCUUCAAAUUUUCCCGUCCUUUCUUUUAUUUUAUUUUAAUAUUUAUUUUCCUUCUUUUUCUCUCCUCCACUAACGAGGGAAACCCAUCAAUCUCCCCCUCCCGACUUAGGUGGAGGGCUCCAGCAGUCCAGCUGCUCUUCU
RNAcentral lists this long non-coding RNA (280 nucleotides) under Prunus persica (peach). RNAcentral describes it as "long non-coding RNA (PPER_LNC004336)". Lineage: Eukaryota; Viridiplantae; Streptophyta; Magnoliopsida; Rosales; Rosaceae. The record is from RNAcentral.